UGACGUAACCGAAAAUGGAAUGCAAUGC
Molecule: small RNA, 28 nt
Filed under: Bombyx mori (domestic silkworm)
Lineage: Eukaryota; Metazoa; Arthropoda; Insecta; Lepidoptera; Bombycidae
Description: ovarian small RNA-31803
Source: RNAcentral